RNAcentral lists this ribosomal RNA (1818 nucleotides) under Triticum aestivum (bread wheat). Its description in RNAcentral is "partial small subunit ribosomal RNA". The record is from RNAcentral. Lineage: Eukaryota; Viridiplantae; Streptophyta; Magnoliopsida; Poales; Poaceae.
AUGGACACCCACGUCGGCUCCGUCGACGGGCCGUCCCCGGCGGCGGUGAACGGCGCGGUGGGCUGCCCGGCGUCCGCGCCGGGGUGCCCGAUCAUGUCCUCCCACCCGGUGGUCUCCGCAGGCGAGGCGUCGCUGGGGCGCCACCUGGCGCGCCGCCUCGUGCAGGUCGGCGUCAGCGACGUCUUCGCCGUGCCCGGGGACUUCAACCUCACGCUACUCGACCACCUCGUCGACGAGCCCGGGCUGCGCCUCAUCGGCUGCUGCAACGAGCUCAACGCGGGCUACGCGGCCGACGGCUACGCGCGGGCCCGCGGCGUCGGCGCCUGCGCGGUCACCUUCACCGUCGGCGGCCUCAGCGUGCUCAACGCCAUCGCCGGCGCCUACAGCGAGAACCUGCCCGUCAUCUGCAUCGCCGGCGGGCCCAACUCCAACGACUACGGCACCAACCGCAUCCUCCACCACACCAUCGGCAUCCCGGACUUCUCACAGGAGCUACGCUGCUUCCAGACCGUCACCUGCCACCAGGCGGUGGUGACCAACCUGGACGACGCGCACGAGCAGAUCGACACGGCCAUCGCGACGGCGCUCAGGGAGAGCAAGCCGGUGUACCUCAGCAUCAGCUGCAACCUCCCCGGGCUACCUCACCCCACCUUUACCCGUGACCCAGUCCCCUUCUUCCUCGCCCCCAGGAUGAGCAACAAGAUGGGGCUCGAGGCUGCAGUGGAGGCAACUGUCGAGUUCCUGAACAAGGCGGUGAAGCCAGUGCUUGUCGCCGGCCCCAAAUUGCGCGUGGCGAAGGCGGGGAAGGCCUUCGUCGACCUCGUGGACGCCAGUGGGUAUGCCUAUGCUAUAAUGCCAUCGGCCAAGGGCUUUGUGCCAGAGACGCACCCCCACUUCCUCGGCACCUACUGGGGCGCCGUCAGCACCGCCUUCUGCGCCGAGAUUGUGGAGUCGGCCGACGCCUACCUCUUCGCAGGCCCUAUCUUCAACGACUACAGCUCUGUUGGCUACUCGUUCCUGCUCAAGAAGGACAAGGCCAUCAUCGUGCAGCCUGAGCGUGUCAUCGUCGGGAACGGCCCGGCAUUCGGCUGCGUCAUGAUGAAGGAGUACCUGUCUGCAUUGGCCAAGCGGGUUCAGAAGAACAACACUGCCUACGAGAACUACAAGAGGAUCUUCGUGCCUGAGGGCCAUCCGCUGAAGGGCGAGGCGAACGAGCCGCUGCGUGUCAAUGUGCUCUUCAAGCACAUCCAGGACAUGCUUACGGGUGACAGUGCAGUGCUCGCCGAGACCGGUGACUCCUGGUUCAACUGCCAGAAGCUCAAGCUGCCCGAGGGCUGCGGGUAUGAAUUCCAAAUGCAGUAUGGCUCGAUUGGAUGGUCAGUGGGUGCAUUGCUCGGGUACGCGCAAGGUGCAAGCGACAAGCGUGUUAUAGCCUGCAUUGGUGAUGGGAGCUUCCAGGUGACAGCACAGGAUGUGUCAACUAUGCUGCGGUGCGAACAGAACAGCAUAAUCUUCCUGAUCAACAAUGGCGGGUACACCAUCGAGGUGGAGAUCCACGACGGGCCUUACAAUGUCAUCAAGAACUGGAACUACACCGCCCUUGUGGAGGCCAUCCACAACGGGGAGGGCAAAUGCUGGACUGCCAAGGUGAAGUGCGAGGAGGAGCUGACGGCGGCGAUAGAGACGGCGCUGGGGGAGAAGAAGGACUCUCUGUGCUUCAUCGAGGUGAUCGCGCACAAGGACGACACCAGCAAAGAGCUUCUCGAGUGGGGUUCCAGGGUCUCUGCUGCCAACUCCAGGCCACCCAACCCCCAGUAG